UACGAAGGGGGCUAGCGUUGUUCGGAUUUACUGGGCGUAAAGCGCACGUAGGCGGAUCGAUCAGUCAGGGGUGAAAUCCCAGAGCUCAACUCUGGAACUGCCUUUUUGAUACUGUCGAUCUGGAGUAUGGAAGAGGUGAGUGGAAUUCCGAGUGUAGAGGUGAAAUUCGUAGAUAUUCGGAGGAACACCAGUGGCGAAGGCGGCUCACUGGUCCAUUACUGACGCUGAGGUGCGAAAGCGUGGGGAGCAAACAGG
RNAcentral lists this ribosomal RNA (255 nucleotides) under uncultured bacterium. RNAcentral describes it as "partial 16S ribosomal RNA". It matches the Rfam family "Bacterial small subunit ribosomal RNA", at positions 524 to 776 of the family's 1533-position model. The record is from RNAcentral.